This 465-nucleotide ribosomal RNA is filed under the name uncultured Klebsiella sp. Its description in RNAcentral is "bacterial SSU rRNA". It matches the Rfam family "Bacterial small subunit ribosomal RNA", at positions 338 to 795 of the family's 1533-position model. The record is from RNAcentral. Lineage: Bacteria; Pseudomonadati; Pseudomonadota; Gammaproteobacteria; Enterobacterales; Enterobacteriaceae.
CCUACGGGGGGCAGCAGUGGGGAAUAUUGCACAAUGGGCGCAAGCCUGAUGCAGCCAUGCCGCGUGUGUGAAGAAGGCCUUCGGGUUGUAAAGCACUUUCAGCGGGGAGGAAGGCGGUGAGGUUAAUAACCUCAUCGAUUGACGUUACCCGCAGAAGAAGCACCGGCUAACUCCGUGCCAGCAGCCGCGGUAAUACGGAGGGUGCAAGCGUUAAUCGGAAUUACUGGGCGUAAAGCGCACGCAGGCGGUCUGUCAAGUCGGAUGUGAAAUCCCCGGGCGCAACCUGGGAACUGCAUUCGAAACUGGCAGGCUAGAGUCUUGUAGAGGGGGGUAGAAUUCCAGGUGUAGCGGUGAAAUGCGUAGAGAUCUGGAGGAAUACCAGUGGCGAAGGCGGCCCCCUGGACAAAGACUGACGCUCAGGUGCGAAAGCGUGGGGAGCAAACAGGAUUAGAUACCCCUGUAGUC